Mauremys reevesii (Reeves's turtle) is the source of this 2809-nucleotide long non-coding RNA. RefSeq lists it as uncharacterized. The transcript has 4 exons. The record is from RefSeq and is a predicted model, not a curated record. NCBI's taxonomy places the organism in Eukaryota, Metazoa, Chordata, Testudines, Geoemydidae.
CUCACUGUAAUCAGAAGGCAUAUCUGCUCAGAGUGCUUGGCCUCAGCAUUCAUUUGGUCUCACUUUUACUGUAGCAGGUGCAGGAGUGGAGACUAUGUGCCUGUGACUUAAGUUUCAUUGGUGCCACUCCCUCACUAGCACUGUGUGAACAACUCUGAGUGCACAAUGUAUCUGAUUAAUUUUGCCUUUUUUCUGCUUGCAAUGCAUAGGCUUUGGAAAAGAUUUUAAAAAAUGGCUAGUGAUUAUGGGCAGCUAUGGUUUUGGGUGUCCAACUUGGGACACCUUCCAGGAGUUUUGGUUUGAGAAAUCACCCCAGGAUGGAGGCAUCCACAGUAUCUGAGUGAUCAUCUGAAACAUAUGGUAUUCCUUCUGCUCCAUGACUGGAGACUGAAACUCAUUAAACAAGGAAGGUGUCUCUGGUAUAAGUAGUGCCUGCCUGCCUGUGCCAGCAAAUAGCCACUCGUUCACAUAUAUAGGAAGAGAUGGACUCGAAUGAUGCCAAGCAACUUCAAGUGCUAGGGUCAAUCAAAGCAAAAGCAUCAUUGUUACCUGCCAUGGGGCACAAAGGAGGAAUUUAUUAUAAAAUUCAGAUGGUGUGUGAAAGAUCUCUAAAGAGGAAGAAGAAUAGAAUCUUAUGGUCAUUUUGAAAAGGAUCCAGAAAACUCUCUACUAAUGUGAACUGUUUCUGAUCCUUUCUAGGAAUGCCCCAUGGCUGAAAAGAUACUGACACUGAAGAAACUCCUGCAAGCUCACGAUGGGCUUGAUCCAAAGCCCAUUUAAAUAAAUGGGAGACUUUCCAUUUACUUCAGUGUGCUUUGGAUUAAGCACCCAUCUACAGAGCUCCUAUUACCUUCAACAAGCGUUCUGUGCAAUGGAGGCUUGUGGGGCUGGCUCCUUUAUUUCCAGUUGUCAACAUGGAUGUGAAAGAAAUCUUUUGUUUCAUUUGCAGCCUCUACUCCCUUCUUCUCUCAUUAUUUAGGCCUGGACAGUAUGUCAGACAUACAGUACCUGUGACAUGACCACAAAGUAAAUGCCAACGCACUUCCAGUAUCAAGCCUUUCUUUUCUGCCACAUAAAAUAAAAGCCCCGCUUAGAUUUAGAAAGCAAGGGAACUAAUGGGGAAGGUGCAUUAAUGUGACCUAGCUCCGCUGGUAUAACACAACUAAAAAUGCAUGACUCAAUUACACAAGAGUUAGCUAAUGAGGAAUGGAGAAGAUGUUACAGUUUAAAACAAAUGGUGACUAAAUGAAUUGGGUGCGGCCUUUCAAAUCUAGACCAUUGAACAAAAACCUGGCAAGACAUUUUCUUCACAGGAUAUGAAUCAUUCGAAAUAAAGAAGAGAGACCAUGGCCACCUACAUUCAGAGUUUGUACAGUAUGACCUUAAGGCCCAACAUCUACCAGAAGUUGAGUAGCAAAAGGCCAAGCUCCGAAGAAUAAAAGGGCUUACAUCAGUAUUAAAUAAUUCUUUCUUGGAGAUGCAAAUUUCUAAUUAGUUACUGUGGAAACUGUAGAGGCCUGGAAGUAAGCCCUGCACAAUGAGAGUGAGAGUUUACUUUUUUGAUUUACUGCAGGACUGCAGCAGUGGAGGGGGACGGAGAGGGGGAAAUAAAUUCAUUGCUUUUAACAUGACAACAGAAUAAAGUGCAGCAAGAGAAGUGACUGUUUUGUGUGCUGCUGUUACGGAGCCCAGAGGAACUUUAUGUGACAUAGUCUCACUUAAAAUGUCGCGCUGGAAUUGUAAACUGCUUCUUUACAAAGAAAUGACUUUCACAACACCCUCAGUUGUCACCUCCCGUAUAAAGAUGUUGGCCUACACUUUUUAAAGUGACCAAUGAUUUGAAGUGCCUCAGUUUUGGGGGUGAUUAACUGGAGGCACCUGAAUUUCAAAGCGCAGCACUUUCUGGAAAAUCAGGCCCUUUUAGAGCACCUGAAAAUGAAGGCACCAAAAAGUCACUAGCUGCUUUUGAAAACGUUGGCCUUGGAAUCCAGCACAGAAAUCUGAGUUUAGCCAAUUCUUCCAAUUUUCUUAUCCUCACUUAGAUGUAUUGAAUUCUUUAGUUUAAUACAUACACAAUAUGCAUAGUGUAGUAUGUCGAUUGCAAUGUACAAUAUGGAUAUUCCACAUUUAUGGAUGGAUAGUCAAUGUGGCCUCUUCCUGCAAGAGCCCUCGGUUCUUGUUUAGAUCAAUGAAAGUUGAGGAUUGUCAACAUCUAACUGGAGAUGAUUAGCACCUCACAGAUUCAGGCAUUUUGUUUAUCUCUAAUGAGGAGACCAAAUGGAAGCCAGAGGGAAAAUAAGUCAGGGUGAAAUUUAUUUGCUUAGAUAAUGACAGCGGACAGACUCUUUAUUGUAACAGGGAACAUCUGAAACAGGGCUGAAGUGAUCCCAUCAAAUUCCUUGUCAGGAACAAGAAAGAAGGGACUGGAUAGUCAGGGUUUGAAUUAAGGGAUAACUGGAACAGGGAGCUGUGAAUGCAGUUUAAUACAUAUUAAGAGAGGAAAGAAGGAAAGAGGAUUUCCCCAAGUGAUUAAAAUGUACUCUGUACUGUGGAUCAUCCUACUGCCACUAUAAACUAAAUUACACCAGGAUUGGGCCAGUUCAUGAUGGUACUGAGUACUGGAUCUUCUCUCAUGGUGCUAAAUUGUUCAUCAGAAUCUCAAAUUUCAUUAAAACAUGUAAGUCUCUAGCUGCUAUGGUUGAGAAGAAAAUCUCAAAAAUGUGAAACAACUGACGCAGAGAUGUUUCUCUGAGCCUGCAGUCUGCCACAACAGCUGUCAGAGGUGUGAACUGCACCAUUCAACUCAGAU